This 497-nucleotide ribosomal RNA is filed under the name uncultured bacterium. RNAcentral describes it as "partial 16S ribosomal RNA". It matches the Rfam family "Bacterial small subunit ribosomal RNA", at positions 28 to 507 of the family's 1533-position model. The record is from RNAcentral.
GAUGAACGCUGGCGGCGUGCCUAAUACAUGCAAGUCGAGCGAACGGACCAGAAGCUUGCUUCUCUGAUGUUAGCGGCGGAGGGGAGCGUCACACGUGGAUAACCUACCUAUCAGACUGGGAUAACUACGGGAAACCGUAUCUUAUACCGGAUGAUAUUUUGCCCCGCGUGGUUCAAAAGUGAAAGUCGGUCUUGCUGUCACUAAUAGAUGGUUACGCGCUGCAUUAGCUGGUUGGUAAGGUAACUGCUUACCAAGGCUACGAGGCAUAGCCGACCUGAGAGAGUGGACGCCGACAUGGGAUGUGAGACAGGGUCGAGACGCCUGCGGGAAGCAGCAGUAGGGAAUCUUACGCAAUGGGCGAGAGCCUGACGGAGCAACGGCGCGUGAGUGAUGAAGGUCUACUGAUCGUAAAACUCUGUUAUUAGUGGAGAACAAAUGUGUAAGUAACCGUGAACAUCGUGACGGUACCGGAUCAGAAAGCCCCGGCUAACUACGUG